CCUACGGGAGGCAGCAGUGAGGAAUAUUGGUCAAUGGCCGGAAGGCUGAACCAGCCAUGCCGCGUGAAGGUCAGUGCCCUAUGGGCGUUAAACUUCUUUUGUGCGGGAGCAAUAAUGGUCACGUGUGGCCAGACGAGAGUACCGUACGAAUAAGCAUCGGCUAACUCCGUGCCAGCAGCCGCGGUAAUACGGGGGAUGCAAGCGUUAUCCGGAGUUAUUGGGUUUAAAGGGUGCGUAGGCGGUGAGGUAAGUCAGCGGGGAAAUGCCCCCGCUCAACGGGGUGAAGUGCCAUUGAUACUGCCUUGCUGGAAUGCGGAUGCAGUGGGAGGAAUGUGUGGUGUAGCGGUGAAAUGCAUAGAUAUCACACAGAACACCGAUUGCGAAGGCAUCUCACGAAUCCGCGAUUGACGCUGAUGCACGAAAGCGUGGGUAUCAAACAGGAUUAGAUACCCCGGUAGUC
Molecule: ribosomal RNA, 460 nt
Filed under: uncultured bacterium
Lineage: Bacteria
Description: partial 16S ribosomal RNA
Rfam family: Bacterial small subunit ribosomal RNA
Source: RNAcentral